Molecule: long non-coding RNA, 380 nt
Organism: Mytilus californianus (California mussel)
Lineage: Eukaryota; Metazoa; Mollusca; Bivalvia; Mytilida; Mytilidae
Exons: 2
Source: RefSeq, a predicted model, not a curated record
UAAUUUUGGACCCUUUGGACCUUAAUGUAGACCAAUUUAAAAAACGGGACCCAAAAUUAAAAAUCUAAAAACACGGUUAGAUUUGGCAUAUCAAAGAACCCCAAUAAUUCAAUUUUUGAUGAAAUCAAACAAAGUUUAAUUUUGGACCCUUUUGACCUCAAUAUGAACCAAUUUGAAAGCGGGGUCCACAAAUAAAAAAUUUAAAUACAUGGUUAGAUUCAGCAUAUCAAAGAACCCCAUAUAUUCAAUUUUUGUUGAAAUCAAACAUAGUUUAAUUUUGGACCCCAAUUUGGACCAACUUGAAAACUGGGCCCAAAAUCAAAAAUCUAAAUACAUGUUUAGAUUCAGCAUAUCAAAGAACCCCAUAUAUUCAAUUGUUG